RNAcentral lists this ribosomal RNA (483 nucleotides) under uncultured bacterium. RNAcentral's name for it is "partial 16S ribosomal RNA". It matches the Rfam family "Bacterial small subunit ribosomal RNA", at positions 28 to 523 of the family's 1533-position model. The record is from RNAcentral.
GACGAACGCUGGCGGCGUGCUUAACACAUGCAAGUCGAACGAUGAACCCGGAGCUUGCUCCAGUGGAUUAGUGGCGAACGGGUGAGUAACACGUGAGCAAUCUGCCCUUGACUCUGGGAUAACUGCGGGAAACUGUAGCUAAUACCGGAUAUGACACCUUGGGGCAUCCCGAGGUGUGGAAAGAAUUUCGGUCAAGGAUGAGCUCGCGGCCUAUCAGCUUGUUGGUGAGGUAACGGCUCACCAAGGCGACGACGGGUAGCCGGCCUGAGAGGGUGACCGGCCACACUGGAACUGAGACACGGUCCAGACUCCUACGGGAGGCAGCAGUGGGGAAUAUUGCACAAUGGGCGAAAGCCUGAUGCAGCAACGCCGCGUGAGGGAUGACGGCCUUCGGGUUGUAAACCUCUUUUAGCAGGGAAGAAGCGAAAGUGACGGUACCUGCAGAAAAAGCACCGGCUAACUACGUGCCAGCAGCCGCAGUAA